CAGAGUUGCAAAACUCCUAAACCAUUGUGAACCUACCCAAAACCGUUGCUUCGGCGGGUGGCUCCCGGGUCUCCCGGGUUGCCCCUCGGCCCCCCACGGGGCGCCCGCCGGAGGUACAUAAACCCUGUACUUUGUAUGGCCUCUCUGAGUCUCUGUACUGAAUAAGUCA
This 169-nucleotide unclassified non-coding RNA is filed under the name uncultured Madurella. RNAcentral describes it as "sequence contains ITS1". The record is from RNAcentral. Lineage: Eukaryota; Fungi; Ascomycota.